Molecule: ribosomal RNA, 406 nt
Filed under: uncultured bacterium
Lineage: Bacteria
Description: partial 16S ribosomal RNA
Rfam family: Bacterial small subunit ribosomal RNA
Source: RNAcentral
AUUGAACGCUGGCGGCAGGCCUCACACAUGCAAGUCGAGCGAGCGGCGGACGGGUGAGUAAUGUCUGGGAAACUGCCUGAUGGAGGGGGAUAACUACUGGAAACGGUAGCUAAUACCGCAUACCAUCAGAUUUGACCAUAUGAGAGUAGCGAGUCGGUGGGGUAACGGCUCACCUAGGCGACGAUCCCUAGCUGGUCUGAGAGGAUGACCAGCCACACGGGAACGGAGACACGGUCCAGACUCCGACGGGAGGCAGCAGUGGGGAAUAUUGCACAAUGGGCGCAAGCAUGAUGCAGCCAUGCCGCGUGUGUGAAGAAGGCCUUCGGGUUGUAAAGCACUGUCAGCGGGGAGGCGUUACCCGCAGAAGAAGCACCGGCUAACUCCGUGCCAGCAGCCGCGGUAAUAC